UGACGGGUAACGGAGAAUUAGGGUUCGAUUCCGGAGAGGGAGCCCGAGAAACGGCUACCACAUCUAAGGAAGGGCGCAGGGCGCGCAAUUACUUUUUUCCGACACAGGGCGGUAGUGACAAGAAAUAACAGGGGCGGGUCUCUUUGAGAAUAUGCAUCUGGAAUGAUUUGGAUGUAAAUAUCGCUUGGACUAUCAAUUGGAGGGCAAGUCUGGUGGCCGCAGCCGCGGUAAUUCCCAGCUCCUUAGUGUAUAUUAAAGUUGUUGCGGUUAAAAAGCUCGUAGUUGGAUUUCUGUUGGGUAUCGCGUGGUCUGCUCCUCGAGUACGUAUCUGCGUCGAUCCUGGCAUCCUCGCAACGCUCUGUGGGAUUAAUUUGCUGGCUGGCUUGCGACUUUUACUUUGAGGAAAUUAGAGUGUUCACGGCCGGGAUUUGCUUUGAAUAUAUUA
This 445-nucleotide ribosomal RNA is filed under the name uncultured Syndiniales. RNAcentral describes it as "bacterial SSU rRNA". It matches the Rfam family "Eukaryotic small subunit ribosomal RNA", at positions 353 to 806 of the family's 1831-position model. Lineage: Eukaryota; Dinophyceae; Syndiniales. The record is from RNAcentral.